AUUGAACGCUGGCGGCAUGCUUUACACAUGCAAGUCGAACGGUAACAGGCCUUCGGGUGCUGACGAGUGGCGAACGGGUGAGUAAUGCAUCGGAACGUACCCAGAGGUGGGGAUAACGCAGCGAAAGCUGUGCUAAUACCGCAUGUGAUCUGAGGAUGAAAGCGGGGGACCGAGCAGCAAUGUUUGGCCUCGCGCCUUUGGAGCGGCCGAUGUCGGAUUCGCUAGUUGGUGGGGUAAAGGCCUACCAAGGCGACGAUCCGUAGCUGGUCUGAGAGGACGACCAGCCGCACUGGGACUGAGACACGGCCCAGACUCCUACGGGAGGCAGCAGUGGGGAAUUUUGGACAAUGGACGCAAGCCUGAUCCAGCAAUGCCGCGUGCGGGAAGAAGGCCUUCGGGUUGUAAACCGCUUUUGGCAGGAACGAAACGGUGUCCGCUAAUACCGGGCGCUAAUGACGGUACCUGCAGAAUAAGCACCGGCUAACUACGUG
Molecule: ribosomal RNA, 491 nt
Filed under: uncultured bacterium
Lineage: Bacteria
Description: partial 16S ribosomal RNA
Rfam family: Bacterial small subunit ribosomal RNA
Source: RNAcentral